AAAGGAAUAGACGGGGACCCGCACAAGCAGCGGAGCAUGUGGUUUAAUUCGAAGCAACGCGAAGAACCUUACCAGGGCUUGACAUAUAGGGGGAUAUGCUAGAGAUAGCAUAGCAUCUUCGGAUGCCCCUAUACAGGUGGUGCAUGGUUGUCGUCAGCUCGUGUCGUGAGAUGUUGGGUUAAGUCCCGCAACGAGCGCAACCCCCGUUCUUAGUUACUAACAGGUAAUGCUGAGGACUCUAAGAAGACUGCCGGUGACAAACCGGAGGAAGGUGGGGAUGACGUCAAAUCAUCAUGCCCUUUAUGUCCUGGGCUACACACGUGCUACAAUGGUCGGUACAACGGGCAGCCAACUAGUGAUAGUGAGCGAAACCCAAAAAGCCGAUCCCAGUUCGGAUUGUAGGCUGCAACUCGCCUACAUGAAGUCGGAGUUGCUAGUAAUCGCGGAUCAGAAUGUCGCGGUGAAUGCGUUCCCGGGUCUUGUACACACCGCCCGU
RNAcentral lists this ribosomal RNA (496 nucleotides) under uncultured bacterium. RNAcentral describes it as "bacterial SSU rRNA". It matches the Rfam family "Bacterial small subunit ribosomal RNA", at positions 903 to 1397 of the family's 1533-position model. The record is from RNAcentral.